ACAAGCGGCGGAGCAUGCGGAUUAAUUCGAUGCAACGCGAAGACUUACCAAGGCUUGACAUACACCGGUAACGCCCAGAGAUGGGUGCCCCUUUGUGGUCGGUGGACAGGUGGUGCAUGGUUGUCGUCAGCUCGUGUCGUGAGAUGUUGGGUUAAGUCCCGCAACGAGCGCAACCCUCGUCCUAUGUUGCCAGCGGGUCAUGCCGGGGACUCAUGGGAGACUGCCGGGGUCAACUCGGAGGAAGUGGGGAUGACGUCAAAUCAUCAUGCCCCUUAUGUCUUGGGCUUCACGCAUGCUACAAUGGCCGGUACAAAGGGCUGCGAUACCGCGAGGUGGAGCGAAUCCCAGAAAGCCGGUCUCAGUUCGGAUUGGGGUCUGCAACUCGACCCCAUGAAGUCGGAGUCGCUAGUAAUCGCAGAUCAGCAACGCUGCGGUGAAUACGUUCCCGGGCCUU
RNAcentral lists this ribosomal RNA (454 nucleotides) under uncultured Cellulomonas sp. Its description in RNAcentral is "bacterial SSU rRNA". It matches the Rfam family "Bacterial small subunit ribosomal RNA", at positions 925 to 1382 of the family's 1533-position model. Lineage: Bacteria; Bacillati; Actinomycetota; Actinomycetes; Micrococcales; Cellulomonadaceae. The record is from RNAcentral.